GGUAAGACGCGCGGGAGCCCGGCGGACCGGGCUGAGAGGAGAGCGUGAGGCUCUCGACCGCCCCGACCUGAUCCGGGUAAUGCCGGCGAAGGGAGCGCUGUGUCCCGCACA
Molecule: non-coding RNA, 111 nt
Filed under: Microbispora rosea
Lineage: Bacteria; Bacillati; Actinomycetota; Actinomycetes; Streptosporangiales; Streptosporangiaceae
Description: TPP sequence
Rfam family: TPP riboswitch aptamer (THI element)
About the family: Vitamin B(1) in its active form thiamin pyrophosphate (TPP) is an essential coenzyme that is synthesised by coupling of pyrimidine and thiazole moieties in bacteria. The previously detected thiamin-regulatory element, thi box was extended, resulting in a new, highly conserved RNA secondary structure, the THI element, which is widely distributed in eubacteria and also occurs in some archaea. Analysis of operon structures identified a large number of new candidate thiamin-regulated genes, mostly transporters, in various prokaryotic organisms.
Source: RNAcentral